GGCCGCCCCUUCGCCUUCCUGCGUCAAUCACCGCCCCACAACCACACGUGUGCGCUGUACGAGGGGCAGGGGGCACGCACUACACGCCUCUUGUCUGUCAACUGUGUGGGCGCCGGUGGCUUCCGUUCUGAAAACCAGCUGAUCGGCUCUGCUCCACGGCUGCCAUCGCCGUUCCUUCCUGUGCGUGUGCGUCUGUUGUUGUUUGUGCUUCGGUUUAGGAUUUGCGUGACCACCAGCGUCCCGGUGAGCACGAGGGACCCCUCCGCCUCCCCCUCCCCCCAGCGGGCCUCCAAGUUGCUUUCGAAGACGGCGUUGUACUGCAUUGUCCGCCACGGCAGCGCGUGCGUCGUGUCGUGUCGUGCCGUGUCUGUCUCAUGCUCCGCCGGCAACUUCACCUCUCCGCCAUCGGCGGCGUGCCAGCGGCGGCGGCGGCGGUGCUUGCUGGCAUAGGCCCAUCCUCCGCGGCGGCCGCCACUGGCACGUUGUCGUCUUCGUCAACCCCUCUAUCGGCCAUGGCGAGCGUCAGUCCGCUCCUCAUGCCCUGCCGUGGCGUGAAGCUCGUGAACCCCAUCGGCAAGCAAGGCAGCCAGCACUACGGCCUUGAGCCGAAGCUGGAAGCGGGCAGGGACACGCAGCUGAAGCACACAGAAAUGUACGACGGCUACACAGAUGACUUUGGUGUCUUCAAGGAAGGUCCGCCGGUGACGCUGCGGCUCGAGUACGUGCGCUCGCCUGAUCACGGCUACUCGCAGCACAUCCUGCAGAAAGAUAUUUGGUCGCCCUUCCAGGUCGGCGCGAACAUGAUGUCCUACACCCCGCUCUACUAUGACUGGAAGGGGUUCUCGAGUCGCGACUACUUUGGCCACCGCAGCGGCACCAACCCAGGCAGCAAGGUGCUCCUCGGCCACUACCGCCGCGACGAGGUACGCUCGUGGGGCUACCGGAUAAUGGUGAAUCACAAACCACAGAAACGCAUCCCUAAGUGGCUCGCGUGUGUCGUGCACAUCCCGCGCAAGAAGACGUUUCUCGGGUUCUUUCUGUACGCCAACGGCGCGUAUGUGGCGGAGCUGCUCACGUACAAGCAGCUGCCGCGCAUCAUCUACAACAAGGCGUUUCAGGGGUGCUUGCCGACCAUUGGGCAGACGGUGUCGCUGACCGAGGUGACCUACGGAAAAGAGAUCCACUCCGUAGAGAUGUACCCGGGGCACGGUGGCGUCAUCUGCCGGGCGAGCGGAACCGCGGCUGUGGUGCUGCGCGGGUCGGAGCCGAACCUUGUCCCGCUCCUGCUGCCCUCCAAGGAGGUGCGUCUCUUCGACAGCACGUGCCACGCCGUCUUUGGCCGUCGUGCCGGCGUCAUGUACAACAAGCAGCGCAACUUCAGUAAGCGCAGUAUCGAGGAGAACAUGCCGCACCGGCCAAAGGUGCACUCCAAAACGAAGCGAGUGUCGAGCCACCCGGCCGGUGGCGGCAACGGCGGCUCGCCGAAUCUGCUCACGCCGCUGGACUGGCGUAUUCAUCCGCGCAACUGCGUCAAGACAAAGUAUUGGCUCUCCGGGUACAUCCUGCGGGGCCGGCAGUACAACCGCAACCAGACGGUGGCCGAUCUCAAGUCGAAAACGUACAGCUGGGCGAAUCGCGACCCCGUGUACCGGUAGCGUAAUGGAGGGGAGGGCGCGGAUCUGCCUCGGCGUUUGCUGUCGUGCGUCGGUGCUCUUUGCCGAUACGCAGCCAGAACGCGAAGCUUGUGUGAUGGGAAGAGGGAGUCGUGCCUUUGCUGGCCUCUGGGCAUGUGUGCGUGGCUCUCACUCUUCGCUUCUUGGGUGGGUAGUAGCCGUCGUCUGCGUGCGUGCGCGAGUCUGCGCGCACAGGAUGGUGUGUGGGCAUGUGUAACGUGCGCCUGCUGCGUUAAUGCGUUGUUGCAUGAUGAGUUGGGCAUGCGCCGGCAUGCGAGGAAG
This 1955-nucleotide unclassified non-coding RNA is filed under the name Leishmania donovani. RNAcentral describes it as "gene:LdHU3.08.0350(CDS-product:ribosomal_protein_ L2_putative)". Lineage: Eukaryota; Euglenozoa; Kinetoplastea; Trypanosomatida; Trypanosomatidae. The record is from RNAcentral.